Molecule: long non-coding RNA, 560 nt
Organism: Fukomys damarensis (Damara mole-rat)
Lineage: Eukaryota; Metazoa; Chordata; Mammalia; Rodentia; Bathyergidae
Exons: 4
Source: RefSeq, a predicted model, not a curated record
UAUUUAUUAUACCUCCAUCCACAGGGAUCCUAAGUGCCAAAUGUAAUGCAUCAGCCGCAAAACAAAAAUGAGGUAAGAGAAGGAAAAGAAAAUAAUCAAAGACAAAGCACGAUCUGACAUAUGAGGAAAAGAAACUUUGGUCAAGCUUCGGCAGUAUAACAAUUCUAAUGAGAAGUGAAAGCAUGAUAUGUUACAUUGGUGAUACCGCUUGGGUGACUAUUAACCAUCUACAUUGUUGGACGAGUCAUCACUUUAGCAUUUUGCGAAAAACUGGAGCAUCUUUGGCAUAUAUGGAGAUGUACGACUGAAGCAGUACUGACUCACAUAUAGAACUUAAGGGGAAAGACCAAAAAGCAUCAUGGCCCCCUCUCUCUUACCACCAUCAGUUCAGAAAAGUGCAAGACGUUCAGUCAAAAUUUGCUUCCAAUUCAGAGUGCCAUAUAUUGUCUUGUGCUUGAAGAUGAAAUUCCCAUUAAUGUCAAUGGAGAAUCCAGGCACGGGGCAAAGGAAACUCAAGACUUUGGCAACAGUGACACAAUUCUCCCAGUGAAGGAAGAAUG